UGAGAGUAGAUGAUGUAUAGGGUGAGAUGAUUUGGACAAUUGUAAAUCUUAUGUUUAUGUUUGAAUGAGUGUAAAGGUAAUCAAAUGUAUUAAAGUUAAAAGGUUGUAAUAGUUAGUAUCUCUUUUUUGUUCACUUGUUUAUUACUUGUGAUGCUUGCUCUUGAUGGUUUAGCACUGGUUGUGCUCUCGUUGUUGUUGUUGAUUGUGUAUGAAUUCAAGUUGAUUUUCUAGGAACUUGUUGUACAUGAUCUCGUUAUUUAGCCUUGGGCGGACAGGGGAGGUGCUGUCCGUUC
Molecule: long non-coding RNA, 293 nt
Filed under: Ananas comosus (pineapple)
Lineage: Eukaryota; Viridiplantae; Streptophyta; Magnoliopsida; Poales; Bromeliaceae
Description: long non-coding RNA (ACOM_LNC002001)
Source: RNAcentral